GGCAAAAAAGAAACUAAAUCCCAUGAGAAAAAGAAGACCCUAGAUCCAGAAUCUAGAGGGGAAGCUAAAAAAAAAAGAAGGUACCUUGAAGGGGAAAGAGGAAGCAGGAGCACCGCCAUGAGGACGAAGGAGAGGUAAAGCUCAGCAAAAAAAAUAAAAGGAGACCCUAGAUCCAGAAUCAAGAGGGGAAGCUAAAAAAAAGGAAGAAACCUUGAAGGGGAAAGAGGAAGGAGGAGCACCGCCAUGAGGACGAAGGAGAGGUAGAACGGAAGAGGAAAGAGAUCCAAAGGAGAUGGACGAAGAAGAGGAUGAGGAACCAAAGAUUCUGUUUCCUCUACCACCACCAGGUCUCAAGCUCAAAACCGACUGAUCGCCCUGCUGCAUACCGAGAUCUAUAACACCUGAGAUCGGAUCGAAAAUCUCCAAACAAAAAAGAACAACGAAACGAUAGAAGAAGCUCUU
Molecule: long non-coding RNA, 462 nt
Filed under: Brassica napus (rape)
Lineage: Eukaryota; Viridiplantae; Streptophyta; Magnoliopsida; Brassicales; Brassicaceae
Description: long non-coding RNA (BNAP_LNC010755)
Source: RNAcentral